Molecule: ribosomal RNA, 3338 nt
Filed under: Fusarium oxysporum f. sp. cucumerinum
Lineage: Eukaryota; Fungi; Ascomycota; Sordariomycetes; Hypocreales; Nectriaceae
Also listed under: 2 other names
Rfam family: Bacterial large subunit ribosomal RNA
Source: RNAcentral
AGCUAUAUAUUAAAGAGAUUUAUUUAUAUAAAUAGGUUUGCUAGCUGAUUGUGUAUAUACGCAGGCCAAUGCUUCUAAUUUCAUAGCAAGCUCGCUUGCUAUGAAAUAGGCAACCAGUAAUAUAAGCAAGUGUGUGCUAUUUAUAGCGCUAGCCUACAAACCUAUAAUUAUAUUAACUCUAAGAGAAAUUUAAUAAUAAACGAAGUGAAUUGAAAUAUCUUAGUAACUUUAGGAAAAGAAAUCAAAAGAGAUUCUAUGAUUAGCGUGAGCUAAAAUAGACUAGCCUAAAAAGUCAAAUGGUGGAUAAACUGUUUAAAUUAAAUGGGGAACCUUCCUCAAAGGCUAAAUAUAAUGUAUAAGCGAUAGUGGAAAGUACCGUGAGGGAACCAAAACAAAAACAGUGAUUUUAUAAGCAGUUCGGAAAAAUAAAAAAAAGUUAGAACGUACCUUUUGCAUAAUGGGUCACCAAGUUAACAUUAGAUGCGAGUAGGAGGCUUUGCCCAUACAUACGUAGUUAAACCGAGCGUUAAAAUAACGGUAAGUAUCUAAAGUUAGACCCGAAGCCUGGUGAUUUUACCAUAAUCAGGAUUAUAAAAGUCCGAACGGAAUAUUGUAGCAUAAAUAUCCGAAGAAUUAUGGUAGGUGUAGUGAAAGACAAUACUGACCAGGAUAGCUGGUUUUCUGCGAAACCUAUAACAGUAGGCAAUUUAAGUAUAAUAUCUUAGCAGGUACAGAAUUUAAUCUCAGACAAGACAUAAGGCUUAGCUUGCUAGCAAGUAAAGCUCAUGUUUUAUUUUGUACAAAUUGGGGGAUCAUGAAGAUUUUAUCAGUGAGUAUGUAGACUCGGAAUGGCAAAGAUAUAUCUUAAAUCAUCAGACAUAGAAUGAUAAGGUUGUAUGUCAAAAGGGAAACAGCCCAGAACAAGAGUUAAGGUUCCUAAAUUAUUAGUUGAGUGAAAUUAAGAAGGUUUUUAUUAAAGUCGACAAGGAGAUAGGCUUAGAAGCAGCCAUAAUUUUAUGACCUCGUAACAGAGCGCUUGUUAAGUUUUAAAAGCAUCGAAAAUUUAUCGGAUCUAAACAAUAUACCGAAACCUUGUCCAUAUUAUUUUAUAAUUAAAGCUUAAUUAUAAUUAAAUGGGGUAGCAGAACGUUGAGCUAAAUUAAGAUUUUUAUUUUUUAAAUGAAAUUAUAAUAAUUUAACUCAAGUGAUAAUGGUGACAUGAGUAACUAAAAGAAAAAAUAAAAUUUUUCCGCCUAAAGCUUAUGGAUGUAAUUAAGUAACGGCCUCUAAGUUUAUAUUAUCUAAAGAUUUAAACGAUGAGAUAAUCUUUUGUACUAAGGACGACAUUUUAAGUGAAAAAUGUACUGGAAAAAUAGUACUAAAUUAAUGGGUAUAGCUAAUUAGUUAGCUAUAGCUAUAAAUGAAAAGUAACCGUACCUAGAAUCUGAAACAAGUAAGCUAGUAGAGAAUACGAAGGCGUAAAUGAGCUAACAAUCAUAAAGGAACUCGGCAAAUUGACUACCGUAACUUCGGGAUAAGGAGAGCUCAUUAUUCUUGAUUAAUAUCAGGUAAAGAGGAAGAAGCAUGAAAUAGUGUUGUACGACUGUUUAAUUAAAACACAGCACUUUGCUGAAAGAUUAAAAAUCUAAGUAUAGAGUGUGAUGUCUGCCCGGUGCCGGCUGGUUAACAGAUAUAAUUAAAUAUACUAAUAUUUGAUGUAGACGGAAACCCCGGUUAAAGGCGGCCUUAACGUGAGGGUCCUAAGGUAGCGAAAUGCCUUGGCCGUUAAAUGCGGUCUUGCAUGAAUGAUGUAACGAUACAACAGCUGUCUCUAUGAUUGACUCAGUGAAAUUGGAAUAGCUGUGCAGAUACAGUUUACCUCUAGUUAGACGAGAAGACCCUAUGCAGCUUUACUGUCACUAAUUAUAGAGUAUGAUAAACAAUUUUCAGAUUAUAAGGUAAUUGACGGCUAGCUUGUUCAGCAAGCUAGCUCUAUGACAAUGAGAAUCCUUUAUUUUUUUUUCAUAUGAAUGAAUUGGUUUAGGAUUAUGAGUAGGUAGCGGCUUCUGCUACUUGGCGUAAGCAUUGCUUGCGUCAGGUGUCUGAAGUAUGCAUUCCAGCUCAUGCAUAGUAAAUCAACCUAAUUCAGCUUAUUUUCCUUUCUGCCAUAAGCGCAUAAUGAUAGAUUUAACUUAAAUUUUGAUUUAUGCCAGCUGCAGAAAUAGAUAAGUACCCUUGGCUAAGGAACUAUCGCUAGGGGACAGUUUAUGUGGGGCACAGACCCUGUAAAGAGUAAACAGGAGUGUCUAAUAAUUUAUAAUUAUUUUGUUUGCGAUUUAAGAUAGUGAAACUAUUUUUAAUCAUAUAAAAUUAUUUAUAUGUACAUUCGUUGUAUAUAUAUUUAAAAAAAGGUAGGAUUUUCACUAUAUAGAAAUUAGAGAUAAUAAAAAUAUUAAGAAUAUACGUUUCAGGCUGGGAGGGGGAAGCUCCUCCCUUUGAAAGGUAGCACUAAUAUUUUUUAGCUAUUAAGACAGGCUAUCAAGCUAGGCUCUAAUAGUUAUGUAUUAAUUAUCUAAAAAGCUCAACGGCUAAAUCUUGCCUUACUGUUUGAUUAUCAACAAAUCUUACAGUUGCGUAAGCAGGGCAUAGGAUCACAAGAUGCAACAAGGAAAGAUCUUGGAUUAUUGGAAAAGCUACGCUAGGGAUAACAGGCUAAUUUGCGCAAGAGUGUACAAAAUGAGUGCGCGGUUUGGCACCUCGAUGUCGGCUUAACUUAUCCUCAUGGAUGCAGGAACUAUGUAGGGUGCGACUGUUCGUCGAUUAAAAAGUUACAUGAGCUGGGUUAAAUACGUCGUGAGACAGUAUGGUUUCUAUCUUCUAGGGGGAAUUAGAAUAUAAUAAGAACUAACUUUUGUACGAAAGGAACAAGAAGAAUUUAAUUUGUAAAAGGGUUAAAUAAUAGUUACUAACCUAUGGUUUACCUGUUGUCUAUGUGCCCAAAUAUUAAAAUAUAUAUGGAGGAAGCUCCUUAAGAGCUUCCCCCGCAAAUUAUAUAUAUCUGUAUAGCUAGCCUGCGGACUCCGGUUAUGCCUGAGUUUGGCAAGCUAAAGCUAUACAUAGGGAUGUUUCUUUCACUAAGAUAAAUAUAUAGCAUAGGCACGGCAGGAAAGCUAAGUUGGUUAAGGAUAAGUGCUGAAAGCAUAUAGGCACGAAGCUUAUCUUAAGAUAUUUCUUAAAUAUACGUAAAAUAUUAUUACGAAGGAUGUAAUAUAGGCUUUAUCCGUACGAAUCAGGAGAUUUUUAAGAAUAAAGUACUAAUUUUAUAAAUAACUAUUUAU